Molecule: ribosomal RNA, 254 nt
Filed under: uncultured bacterium
Lineage: Bacteria
Description: partial 16S ribosomal RNA
Rfam family: Bacterial small subunit ribosomal RNA
Source: RNAcentral
UACGAAGGGGGGCUAGCGUUGCUCGGAUUGACUGGGCGUAAAGGGCGCGUAGGCGGUUCGUACAGUCAGACGUGAAAUUCCUGGGCUCAACCUGGGGGCUGCGUUUGAUACGUGCGGGCUUGAGUGCGGAAGAGGGUCGUGGAAUUCCCAGUGUAGAGGUGAAAUUCGUAGAUAUUGGGAAGAACACCGGUGGCGAAGGCGGCGACCUGGUCCGAUACUGACGCUGAGGCGCGAAAGCGUGGGGAGCAAACAGG